RNAcentral lists this ribosomal RNA (767 nucleotides) under Salmonella enterica subsp. enterica serovar Schwarzengrund. Its description in RNAcentral is "partial 23S ribosomal RNA". It matches the Rfam family "Bacterial large subunit ribosomal RNA", at positions 2176 to 2925 of the family's 2925-position model. The record is from RNAcentral. Lineage: Bacteria; Pseudomonadati; Pseudomonadota; Gammaproteobacteria; Enterobacterales; Enterobacteriaceae.
CUGCAUGGAGCCGGCCUUGAAAUACCACCCUUUAAUGUUUGAUGUUCUAACGUGGACCCGUGAUCCGGGUUGCGGACAGUGUCUGGUGGGUAGUUUGACUGGGGCGGUCUCCUCCUAAAGAGUAACGGAGGAGCACGAAGGUUGGCUAAUCCUGGUCGGACAUCAGGAGGUUAGUGCAAUGGCAUAAGCCAGCUUGACUGCGAGCGUGACGGCGCGAGCAGGUGCGAAAGCAGGUCAUAGUGAUCCGGUGGUUCUGAAUGGAAGGGCCAUCGCUCAACGGAUAAAAGGUACUCCGGGGAUAACAGGCUGAUACCGCCCAAGAGUUCAUAUCGACGGCGGUGUUUGGCACCUCGAUGUCGGCUCAUCACAUCCUGGGGCUGAAGUAGGUCCCAAGGGUAUGGCUGUUCGCCAUUUAAAGUGGUACGCGAGCUGGGUUUAGAACGUCGUGAGACAGUUCGGUCCCUAUCUGCCGUGGGCGCUGGAGAACUGAGGGGGGCUGCUCCUAGUACGAGAGGACCGGAGUGGACGCAUCACUGGUGUUCGGGUUGUCAUGCCAAUGGCACUGCCCGGUAGCUAAAUGCGGAAGAGAUAAGUGCUGAAAGCAUCUAAGCACGAAACUUGCCCCGAGAUGAGUUCUCCCUGAGACUUAGAGUCUCCUGAAGGAACGUUGAAGACGACGACGUUGAUAGGCCGGGUGUGUAAGCGCAGCGAUGCGUUGAGCUAACCGGUACUAAUGAACCGUGAGGCUUAACCUUACAACGCCGAAG